UGCCAGCCGCCGCGGUAAUACGGAGGAUCCAAGCGUUAUCCGGAAUCAUUGGGUUUAAAGGGUCCGUAGGUGGAUAAUUAAGUCAGGGGUGAAAGUUUGCAGCUCAACUGUAAAAUUGCCUUUGAUACUGGUUAUCUUGAAUCAUUAUGAAGUGGUUAGAAUAUGUAGUGUAGCGGUGAAAUGCAUAGAUAUUACAUAGAAUACCGAUUGCGAAGGCAGGUCACUAACAACGUAUUGACGCUGAGGGACGAAAGCGUGGGGAGCGAACAGGAUUAGAUA
Molecule: ribosomal RNA, 279 nt
Filed under: uncultured bacterium
Lineage: Bacteria
Description: partial 16S ribosomal RNA
Rfam family: Bacterial small subunit ribosomal RNA
Source: RNAcentral